AUGGAGUUUUGCUUUUGUUGUCCAGACUGGAGUGCAAUGGCAUGAUCUUGGCUCAGUGCAACCUCCAUCUCCCAGGUACAAGCGAUUCUCCUGCCUCAGCCUCCCAAGUAACUGGGAUUACAGGCACCCACCCCCACACCCAGCUAAUUUUGUAUUUUUAGUAGAGACGGGGUUUCACCAUGUUGGUCAGGAUGGUUUCGAACUCCUGACCUCAGGUGAUCCUCCUGCCUUGGCCUCCCAAAGUGCUGGGAUUACAGGCAUGAGUCACCGUACCUGGCCC
Molecule: long non-coding RNA, 280 nt
Filed under: Homo sapiens (human)
Lineage: Eukaryota; Metazoa; Chordata; Mammalia; Primates; Hominidae
Description: non-protein coding lnc-C6orf203-6:1
Source: RNAcentral